RNAcentral lists this unclassified non-coding RNA (610 nucleotides) under Hevea brasiliensis (rubber tree). The record is from RNAcentral. Lineage: Eukaryota; Viridiplantae; Streptophyta; Magnoliopsida; Malpighiales; Euphorbiaceae.
CUGCUUCCAUUUUUAUGAGUGCCUAGCAUCAAGGGAAACAAGCAUUCAUACUUCCAUACAAUUAGAGGCCACACAGGAUGUUAAUAAGCCAAAAUGGGGUAUUUGAUUGACAUGAAUGGAGUUAUGAAAGUUACAAAGUAACAUCUGAAUAGGACCAUCUUACAUAGAGCAGUUUGCAUAGUUACAUAGAUCAGUUUGCUCUGAACUACAGAAUUGCCAAGGCGAGGGAAACAAUGUCAGGGCCCCGGCUUGAACUCAAUAAUCCUAAAAUAUUCAGAUCCAAUCCUAAAUGGGGAGAAAUCCUUAAAUAAGUACUUUUUCAUCAUUAGUUGCUUCUACUUCCUUAAUUUCUUUGGUUUUUUUUUUUUAAUUCCUUAUGUCAUCAUCAGUUUUAUAUUAAUAAAAUCAUGGAAAAUAAUACAUAUGUCAGAAAGUGCAACUCCUUUGGGUCUCUAUUAAUAAAUUAAAAAGAAAAUUUUCAUCUAACACGUAAUAAAAGAAAAAGGAAAUGAAUAUGGUUUGCUAAAUCAACUUUAAAUGCAAAACAGAGUAAUAAAUGCAUCAGAAGACAUUGAAACUAAUGCCACCUGCUGUCUGGAUAUUUUGUUGG